RNAcentral lists this unclassified non-coding RNA (282 nucleotides) under Hevea brasiliensis (rubber tree). Lineage: Eukaryota; Viridiplantae; Streptophyta; Magnoliopsida; Malpighiales; Euphorbiaceae. The record is from RNAcentral.
AAAAUCUAAAUAAAAUGAAAAGACACUUCUAUUAUCUGGUAACUUAUAGUUAUCCCCCUUUUAGUAGUUAGUAGUAAUGAUUUCUAACUCACAAGUCACGGGGUUUGAUUUUCUUCAAAAGUGAGUUUUAAAACAGACUCGAUGCUGGUGCCACCAAGAUGUACUAAUUUACCCUUUCACAGGUAUUGAGUGGAAAGUUGUGGAGUUGUUCUUGAAGCCCCACUCGCACAAGUCUAGUUUAAUUAUAAGAAGUUAAGUAUUUUUGAAUGAAGACACUCAAUU